RNAcentral lists this unclassified non-coding RNA (198 nucleotides) under Clathrus archeri. RNAcentral's name for it is "partial internal transcribed spacer region". The stretch from base 1 to 46 matches the Rfam family "Eukaryotic small subunit ribosomal RNA", at positions 1786 to 1831 of the family's 1831-position model. The record is from RNAcentral. Lineage: Eukaryota; Fungi; Basidiomycota; Agaricomycetes; Phallales; Clathraceae.
AAGUCGUAACAAGGUUUCCGUAGGUGAACCUGCGGAAGGAUCAUUGCUGAAUUUAUUUUCAAUCCUUUCACACACCUGUGCACUCUGGCGCGAGGGGAGACCCUCGCGUGUUAUUAUACCCACGCCUGUCGUACGCAUGCGAAAAAAAAACAAAAGUUUAUAAAAACAUAACUUUCAACAACGGAUCUCUUGGCUUUC